This is a non-coding RNA of Ceratotherium simum simum (southern white rhinoceros), 95 nucleotides long. The record is from RefSeq and is a predicted model, not a curated record. NCBI's taxonomy places the organism in Eukaryota, Metazoa, Chordata, Mammalia, Perissodactyla, Rhinocerotidae.
UAAAUUGCUUUUAUUCUGGUCUAUUUUCUCUCUGUUGUUCAGGUUGGAUAAUUUCUAUUGUUCUGUCUUCAGUUUGCUGAUUCCUUCCUCUGUCU